AACAGGAGUUGAUAGAAAGCAGGGUGAGGCCAUUUUCACUUUUUCUUUUCGGAAACAAUGUAUACAAAAUUUUGGUGCCAGGCUUCUACUUUUACCGGUUAGGUUUGCUCUCUUGGAAUUCAGAUCAAAAUUCUCUCCUAAUGGGGGCUAAAUUUUCUUAAUGUAGAAAAAUAGUUUAAAACUUUUAGAUUUGGAUAAAAGUUAAACCUCGACUCCUGCAUCAACUUCACU
Molecule: long non-coding RNA, 231 nt
Filed under: Phoenix dactylifera (date palm)
Lineage: Eukaryota; Viridiplantae; Streptophyta; Magnoliopsida; Arecales; Arecaceae
Description: long non-coding RNA (PDAC_LNC002348)
Source: RNAcentral